AGCUGUCAGGGUUCACAGAACUUUGGUGACGCAGCUAACGCAUUAAGUANUCCGCCUGGGGAGUACGGUCGCAAGGUUAANACUCAAAGGAAUUGACGGGGGCCUGCACAAGCGGUGGAGCAUGUGGUUUAAUCCGAAGCAACGCGCAGAACCUUACCAGCGUUUGACAUGCCUAGUAUGGUUUCCAGAGAUGGAUUCCUUCAGUUCGGCUGGCUAGUGCACAGGUGCUGCAUGGCUGUCGUCAGCUCGUGUCGUGAGAUGUUGGGUUAAGUCCCGCAACGAGCGCAACCCUCGUCUUUAGUUACCAUCAUUUAGUUGGGUACUCUAAAGAAACCGCCGGUGAUAAGCCGGAGGAAGGUGGGGAUGACGUCAAGUCCUCAUGGCCCUUACGCGCUGGGCUACACACGUGCUACGAUGGCGACUACAGUGGGCUGCAAUCCCGCGAGGGUGAGCUAAUCUCCAAAAGUCGUCUCAGUUCGGAUUGUUCUCUGCAACUCGAGAGCAUGAAGGCGGAAUCGCUAGUAAUCGCGGAUCAGCAUGCCGCGGUGAUACGUUCCCAGGCCUUGUACACACCGC
RNAcentral lists this ribosomal RNA (576 nucleotides) under uncultured bacterium. Its description in RNAcentral is "bacterial SSU rRNA". It matches the Rfam family "Bacterial small subunit ribosomal RNA", at positions 818 to 1393 of the family's 1533-position model. The record is from RNAcentral.